Molecule: long non-coding RNA, 906 nt
Organism: Apus apus (common swift)
Lineage: Eukaryota; Metazoa; Chordata; Aves; Apodiformes; Apodidae
Exons: 5
Source: RefSeq, a predicted model, not a curated record
UGCUAUCUCUUUUAGAAAUCCCAAGAGAACAUAUGCCUUAGCAGAAAAUGGAUGAAUGGGUACCCUCUAGAGGCAGAGUUCAGUUGGGGAAAAGUCCAAGAUUUGGAGAACAGGUAUCAGUGAACAUUAACAAUGCUGCUGUGUGGAGAAGAGAGUUGGGAUUACUCAAGGCUUACAUAAAUGCAUACAUUCUGCAAUAUCAUCCCAGUGUCAGCUAGAGGAGCACAGCUUCAUCCUGGAGAAGUACCUGGAACAAGCACUGCAAUGCAUAUGAUUCAGCAGCUGCAGUUUUCUCACCUGCAGAUACACUGGACCAUCUUUCAUUGAUAACAUGAAUGUGAUUCAGAGAUCUGGGAAUUCUCCAGCUGCGUUUGCUGCUGUGAAGAGCUAGACAUUUCUUGUCAGGGCUUGCCCCAAACACAGAGCUGCCUGUCUGCCACAACCCUGUUUACAAUGAAGGUGAUGCAAAGAAAUGGUGGUGACUGGGGUGAUGACCCUUAUGAAAACUGGAGCAUUGGACAACUCUACAUAGGAUGCUGUUCCUCUGACUAUUUAAAAAUUCAAAAGAUCUAUUCAAAAGAUGUGUUUAGCAGUGAGUCCAGGGUUGCCCUCACAACAGAAGACUUCAAGAAGCUGGAGCAUCAGUUCAGACAAAGUCUGCUUCUGUGACAUCUGUUGCAGGAGUGAAACAAUGACUUCCAUCCAUUAUUUCCAACCAUCUGGGCUUCAAGUAGAUGGAUGCCCACCUUGUGCCAUUUUGCAUCUGAGUUUUGAAGAUACCAGGGACGCUGCUCCUAUGAACUUCACUGACAGCUGAAAGAACUCAACAAUCCAUCUUAGGGGAAAGUAUCAAGUCAACAGCAUUCCUAUUUUGGCUCCACUGGGAUAUUGAACAGAACGGCAACU